This 242-nucleotide long non-coding RNA is filed under the name Daucus carota (carrot). Its description in RNAcentral is "long non-coding RNA (DCAR_LNC000329)". The record is from RNAcentral. Lineage: Eukaryota; Viridiplantae; Streptophyta; Magnoliopsida; Apiales; Apiaceae.
ACCAUUUUCUCAUCAAAAGGCAGGAAGAGAUAAAGGAGGGCUGGGAUCCAAAUAUGAAAAAUUUGAUCAGAGUAUAGGAUCAAGACCAGAUGACCCCUCAUCUCUCUGUGCUCCCAAGACUGGGGUAUUGCAAGACAAAAUGGACAAACUUGAUUCAGUCCAGUUGGUAAAGAAUGACAGAGGAGAUAAUAUCCUUAUCUACUUCAUGUCUGAUGGAACAGUGUUUAGAGUACUUGAAGCAG